RNAcentral lists this ribosomal RNA (253 nucleotides) under uncultured bacterium. RNAcentral describes it as "partial 16S ribosomal RNA". It matches the Rfam family "Bacterial small subunit ribosomal RNA", at positions 524 to 776 of the family's 1533-position model. The record is from RNAcentral.
UACGAAGGGGGCUAGCGUUGUUCGGAAUUACUGGGCGUAAAGCGCGCGCAGGCGGUUCUUCAAGUCAGAGGUGAAAGCCCAGAGCUCAACUCUGGAAUGGCCUUUGAGACUAGAGAACUAGGGUACGGGAGAGGUGAGUGGAAUUCCGAGUGUAGAGGUGAAAUUCGUAGAUAUUCGGAAGAACACCAGUGGCGAAGGCGGCUCACUGGCCCGUUACCGACGCUCAGGCGCGACAGCGUGGGGAGCAAGCAGG